This 460-nucleotide ribosomal RNA is filed under the name uncultured Bacteroidota bacterium. RNAcentral describes it as "uncultured Bacteroidetes bacterium partial 16S ribosomal RNA". Lineage: Bacteria; Pseudomonadati; Bacteroidota. The record is from RNAcentral.
GACUACCGGGGUAUCUAAUCCUGUUCGAUCCCCACGCUUUCGUGCCUCAGCGUCAAUAUCGGUCCAGUAAGCUGCCUACGCAAUUGGUGUUCUGUGUAAUAUCUAAGCAUUUCACCGCUACAUUACACAUUCCGCCUACCUUAACCAAAUUCAAGACUAACAGUAUCAAUGGCAGUUCUACAGUUAAGCUGUAGGAUUUCACCACUGACUUAUUAAUCCGCCUACGCACCCUUUAAACCCAAUGAAUCCGGAUAACGCUUGCAUCCUCCGUAUUACCGCGGCUGCUGGCACGGAGUUAGCCGAUGCUUAUUCCCAAGGUACAGUCAUGUUCUUACACGUAAAAACUAUUCUUCCCCUGGAAAAGCAGUUUACAACCCAUAGGGCCGUCUUCCUGCACGCGGGAUGGCUGGUUCAGGCUUGCGCCCAUUGACCAAUAUUCCUCACUGCAGCCCCCCGUAGG